CCUACGGGAGGCAGCAGUGAGGAAUAUUGGUCAAUGGACGAGAGUCUGAACCAGCCAAGUAGCGUGAAGGAUGACUGCCCUAUGGGUUGUAAACUUCUUUUAUAUGGGAAUAAAAUGUUCCACGUGUGGGAUUUUGUAUGUACCAUAUGAAUAAGGAUCGGCUAACUCCGUGCCAGCAGCCGCGGUAAUACGGAGGAUCCGAGCGUUAUUCGGGUUUAUUUGGGUUAAAGGGAGCGUAGGUGGAUUGUUAAGUCAGUUGUGAAAGUUUGCGGCUCAACCGUAAAAUUGCAGUUGAAACUGGCAGUCUUGAGUACAGUAGAGGUGGGCGGAAUUCGUGGUGUAGCGGUGAAAUGCUUAGAUAUCACGAAGAACUCCGAUUGCGAAGGCAGCUCACUGGACUGCAACUGACACUGAGGCUCGAAAGUGUGGGUAUCAAACAGGAUUAGAUACCCUAGUAGUC
RNAcentral lists this ribosomal RNA (460 nucleotides) under uncultured bacterium. Its description in RNAcentral is "partial 16S ribosomal RNA". It matches the Rfam family "Bacterial small subunit ribosomal RNA", at positions 338 to 795 of the family's 1533-position model. The record is from RNAcentral.